RNAcentral lists this ribosomal RNA (472 nucleotides) under uncultured organism. Its description in RNAcentral is "partial 16S ribosomal RNA". It matches the Rfam family "Bacterial small subunit ribosomal RNA", at positions 333 to 797 of the family's 1533-position model. The record is from RNAcentral.
ACACUCCUACGGGAGGCAGCAGUGGGGAAUUUUGGACAAUGGGCGAAAGCCUGAUCCAGCAAUGCCGCGUGUGUGAAGAAGGCCUUCGGGUUGUAAAGCACUUUUGUCCGGAAAGAAAUCCUUGGCUCUAAUACAGUCGGGGGAUGACGGUACCGGAAGAAUAAGCACCGGCUAACUACGUGCCAGCAGCCGCGGUAAUACGUAGGGUGCGAGCGUUAAUCGGAAUUACUGGGCGUAAAGCGUGCGCAGGCGGUUUGCUAAGACCGAUGUGAAAUCCCCGGGCUCAACCUGUGAACUGCAUUGGUGACUGGCAGGCUAGAGUAUGGCAGAGGGGGGUAGAAUUCCACGUGUAGCAGUGAAAUGCGUAGAGAUGUGGAGGAAUACCGAUGGCGAAGGCAGCCCCCUGGGCCAAUACUGACGCUCAUGCACGAAAGCGUGGGGAGCAAACAGGAUUAGAAACCCUAGUAGUCCC